GAUGAACGCUGGCGGCGUGCCUAAUACAUGCAAGUCGAGCGAACGGACGAGAAGCUUGCUUCUCUGAUGUUAGCGGCGGACGGGUGAGUAACACGUGGAUAACCUACCUAUAAGACUGGGAUAACUUCGGGAAACCGGAGCUAAUACCGGAUAAUAUUUUGAACCGCAUGGUUCAAAAGUGAAAGACGGUCUUGCUGUCACUUAUAGAUGGAUCCGCGCUGCAUUAGCUAGUUGGUAAGGUAACGGCUUACCAAGGCAACGAUGCAUAGCCGACCUGAGAGGGUGAUCGGCCACACUGGAACUGAGACACGGUCCAGACUCCUACGGGAGGCAGCAGUAGGGAAUCUUCCGCAAUGGGCGAAAGCCUGACGGAGCAACGCCGCGUGAGUGAUGAAGGUCUUCGGAUCGUAAAACUCUGUUAUUAGGGAAGAACAUAUGUGUAAGUAACUGUGCACAUCUUGACGGUACCUAAUCAGAAAGCCACGGCUAACUACGUGCCAGCAGCCGCGGUAAUACGUAGGUGGCAAGCGUUAUCCGGAAUUAUUGGGCGUAAAGCGCGCGUAGGCGGUUUUUUAAGUCUGAUGUGAAAGCCCACGGCUCAACCGUGGGGGGUCAUUGGAAACUGGAAAACUUGGGUGCAGAAGAGGAAAGUGGAAUUCCAUGUGUAGCGGUGAAAUGCGCAGAGAUAUGGAGGAACACCAGUGGCGAAGGCGACUUUCUGGUCUGUAACUGACGCUGAUGUGCGAAAGCGUGGGGAUCAAACAGGAUUAGAUACCCUGGUAGUCCACGCCGUAAACGAUGAGUGCUAAGUGUUAGGGGGUUUCCGCCCCUUAGUGCUGCAGCUAACGCAUUAAGCACUCCGCCUGGGGAGUACGACCGCAAGGUUGAAACUCAAAGGAAUUGACGGGGACCCGCACAAGCGGUGGAGCAUGUGGUUUAAUUCGAAGCAACGCGAAGAACCUUACCAAAUCUUGAAAUCCUUUGACAACUCUAGAGAUAGAGCUUUCCCCUUCGGGGGACAAAGUGACAGGUGGUGCAUGGUUGUCGUCAGCUCGUGUCGUGAGAUGUUGGGUUAAGUCCCGCAACGAGCGCAACCCUUAAGCUUAGUUGCCAUCAUUAAGUUGGGCACUCUAAGUUGACUGCCGGUGACAAACCGGAGGAAGGUGGGGAUGACGUCAAAUCAUCAUGCCCCUUAUGAUUUGGGCUACACACGUGCUACAAUGGACAAUACAAAGGGCAGCGAAACCGCGAGGUCAAGCAAAUCCCAUAAAGUUGUUCUCAGUUCGGAUUGUAGUCUGCAACUCGACUACAUGAAGCUGGAAUCGCUAGUAAUCGUAGAUCAGCAUGCUACGGUGAAUACGUUCCCGGGUCU
This 1372-nucleotide ribosomal RNA is filed under the name uncultured bacterium. Its description in RNAcentral is "bacterial SSU rRNA". It matches the Rfam family "Bacterial small subunit ribosomal RNA", at positions 28 to 1381 of the family's 1533-position model. The record is from RNAcentral.